RNAcentral lists this unclassified non-coding RNA (263 nucleotides) under plant metagenome. RNAcentral's name for it is "partial contains small subunit ribosomal RNA and internal transcribed spacer 1". The stretch from base 1 to 46 matches the Rfam family "Eukaryotic small subunit ribosomal RNA", at positions 1786 to 1831 of the family's 1831-position model. The record is from RNAcentral.
AAGUCGUAACAAGGUUUCCGUAGGUGAACCUGCGGAAGGAUCAUUACAAAUAAAGCUGGUAGGAAGUGGGGUCUUGAUCUGUAAGUGGUAGAGCGAACAGUCCGGCUGCCUCCCGAAAUGUCUUACAUGCCCCCACCACGCAUGCAGGCAUGAAUUCAACCACUGAUUAUCUACACUUGUUGCUUUGGGGAUGCUCAAGUGCCCCAGAGGACCCAACUCUCUUGCAUUUAGUGACGUCUGAGUACUAUAUAAUAUUUGAAAAG